RNAcentral lists this ribosomal RNA (111 nucleotides) under Pembertonia latisquamea. RNAcentral's name for it is "5.8S ribosomal RNA". It matches the Rfam family "5.8S ribosomal RNA", at positions 49 to 154 of the family's 154-position model. From Rfam's summary of the family: 5.8S ribosomal RNA (5.8S rRNA) is a component of the large subunit of the eukaryotic ribosome. It is transcribed by RNA polymerase I as part of the 45S precursor that also contains 18S and 28S rRNA. Functionally, it is thought that 5.8S rRNA may be involved in ribosome translocation. The record is from RNAcentral. Lineage: Eukaryota; Viridiplantae; Streptophyta; Magnoliopsida; Asterales; Asteraceae.
CAAAAUGCGAUACUUGGUGUGAAUUGCAGNAUCCCGUGAACCAUCGAGUUUUUGAACGCAAGUUGCGCCCAAAGCCAUUCGGCUGAGGGCACGUCUGCCUGGGCGUCACGC